Sceloporus undulatus (fence lizard) is the source of this 1623-nucleotide RNA transcript. It is a transcript of the gene named POC1 centriolar protein A, with no coding region annotated. The transcript has 12 exons. The record is from RefSeq and is a predicted model, not a curated record. Lineage: Eukaryota; Metazoa; Chordata; Lepidosauria; Squamata; Phrynosomatidae.
GGAGGAGGGCAGGGCGGGCAAACUGAAUCGCUCCGGCGGCAACAGCGCUCCCUCCUUCCCUUGGUUCCGCCAUGGCCUUCGCUUGCUUGGAAGAUCCAACAUUGGAGAGGCAUUUCAAAGGCCACCGAGAUGCAGUAACCAGUGUGGAUUUCAGUCUAAACAAAAAACAACUUGUAAGUGGAUCUAUGGAUUCAUGUUUAAUGGUUUGGAGCAUGAAACCUCAGAUGAGAGCCUAUCGCUUUGUGGGUCACAAAGAUGCAGUAAUGUCUGUUCAUUUUUCACCAUCUGGUCAUCUGAUUGCUUCAGGUUCUAGAGACAAAACAGUUCGCUUGUGGGUUCCGAGUGUCAAGGGAGAAUCGACUGCAUUCAAAGCUCACACAGCAACAGUCAGAAGUGUUCACUUUUCAAAUGACGGACAAUCAUUGGUUACAGCUUCUGAUGACAAAACAGUUAAAGUAUGGUCUGUCCACAGACAAAAAUUCUUAUUCUCCCUAAGUCAGCACAUCAACUGGGUUCGCUGUGCUAAAUUUUCUCCUGAUGGAAGAUUAAUUGUAUCAUCUAGCGAUGACAAAACUAUCAAACUUUGGGAUAAAGCAAGUAGAGAAUGUGUACACUCUUUCUGUGAGCAUGGAGGGUUUGUACCUCAUGUGGACUUUCACCCUAGUGGUACAUGUAUUGCUGCAGCUGGCACAGACAACACAGUGAAGGUAUGGGAUGUUAGGAUGAACAGGCUUCUCCAGCAUUAUCAAGUGCACAGUGCUUCUGUGAAUUGUCUGUCCUUUCACUCCUCUGGAAAUUACCUCAUUACUGCUUCCAAUGAUUCAACUCUAAAAAUAUUGGAUUUACUAGAGGGGAGGCUGCUAUAUACACUUCACAGUCACCAGGGAUCAGCUACUUGUGUUUCUUUUUCAAGAACAGGAGACUUCUUUGCCUCGGGAGGGUUUGAUGAGCAGGUAAUGGUAUGGAAGACAAACUUUGAUGCUGCUGAUUAUACUGAUCUAUUAAAAACUCGGAAGCAUAGUAUGAAUGCGAUUGGUGCUUUUAACAGCUUGAACCCAAUCGAUGCUGGUAGUAGCGAGAUUCAGCAAGCUGGAACUUACAGACAAGAAAAGGGCUCAUUUAUCAACUGAGAUGACACAAAGCACACUUUGCAAGCUGUGAAAAGAGUUAGUAGCAACAAGCCCACUUAUAGGUGCCUUCAGUAAACAUCAUUGUACUUCAAGAGCUGGUUAAUACAACUCCUGGAGAAAAGGUUUUCCAAGGGAUCAUUCACACUUAUGUUUUGUCACGAGGAAAUUCAGAUCUCUGUCGUGAUGCAGUAUUGCUUCCAAUAUGAUGUAAAUGCCCGGAUCUCUCCAUGGCAUUUAAACCCUGAUAGACAUUCACACUGGCACUGGAUCAUUUCAAAAUGGAGGCAUCUCCAUGUCUGGAAAUGAUCCCACAUGAUCCGGAUCGAACCGGUAGCGCACUCAUACUACUGAAUAUCCAGAUUGCUGCAGCACUUUAAAAAAAACAUGCAGUUGGAAAUGGAUUUUGGAGAAGUUACAGAUAAACAAAAAAAUCAAGAAACUACAGUCGGAAGGCAGCAAGAACAAAUGGAUGAGGCCAGUCUUGCCAGUACCC